Molecule: ribosomal RNA, 492 nt
Filed under: uncultured Caldimonas sp.
Lineage: Bacteria; Pseudomonadati; Pseudomonadota; Betaproteobacteria; Burkholderiales; Sphaerotilaceae
Description: bacterial SSU rRNA
Rfam family: Bacterial small subunit ribosomal RNA
Source: RNAcentral
AGAGUUUGAUCAUGGCUCAGAUUGAACGCUGGCGGCAUGCCUUACACAUGCAAGUCGAACGUGAAAGGGGGGCAACCCCCGAGUAGAGUGGCGGACGGGUGAGUAAUACAUCGGAACGUGCCCAGUAGUGGGGGACAACCUCGAGAAAUCGAGGCUAAUACCGCAUACGACCCACGGGUGAAAGCGGGGGACCGCAAGGCCUCGCGCUAUUGGAGCGGCCGAUGUCCGAUUAGCUAGUUGGUAGGGUAAAAGCCUACCAAGGCAACGAUCGGUAGCUGGUCUGAGAGGACGACCAGCCACACUGGGACUGAGACACGGCCCAGACUCCUACGGGAGGCAGCAGUGGGGAAUUUUGGACAAUGGGGGCAACCCUGAUCCAGCCAUGCCGCGUGCGGGAAGAAGGCCUUCGGGUUGUAAACCGCUUUCGGCCGGAACGAAAUCGCCGGGGAGAACAUCUCCGGUGGAUGACGUACCGAAGUAGAGACCGAUCCC